RNAcentral lists this non-coding RNA (29 nucleotides) under Mus musculus (house mouse). The record is from RNAcentral. Lineage: Eukaryota; Metazoa; Chordata; Mammalia; Rodentia; Muridae.
UGACAAUGUGUGUAUAACCCAUCCCCAUC